CUUUGAGGAAUGCCCUUGCUUCAGCCAAUCGGAAUCGAGUAUUCAACAAUGCUUUGGCAUAAUUCAAGGACGUUCAUAUUCACUUCAGUUGUCUGCCGAUGGUUCACUGACGUUUUUUCAAAGGAGAUAUUAGUAUUACCUAUAAAUAGCCUACAACAAUAAGCUACACAUCAUGUCAGACAACAGCAAGAGCGUGAAAUGGGAGGAUUCCCCGGAUGAUCAAAAUAAAGUUGUGGAGAAUAUGAAGGAUGAAACAGAGACACAUGAGAACAACAAGAACAGGACUGGAGGCAAGGCUAAACGUAAGUCCAGUGGCAGUGCCAAGAAGACUUCCGUGGAGGAGGACAGCAGCAUUGGUGCAGAGUCUUCUCAGACACCCGGGUGUGGUUUCCGGGAAAGGGGAUCUAUCAUUGAGCAGCUGGAGAAGGAGGCUCAGAGGACUCUAAUGCCUUCUCUCAAGAUUGGGACAUGCUGUGCCCCAAUCCUCCUCUCCUUCCUGAGGAGUCUAACUGAUGAGCAAGUCCCAUGUCUUUCUCCAACCUCACAUACAACAACUCUGAAUUUAUAGUCAUAGUGCACCUUCUAACCACAAAUGCGAUUUCAAACACUACACCUAACCCUAAC
RNAcentral lists this long non-coding RNA (624 nucleotides) under Salmo trutta (river trout). Its description in RNAcentral is "lncRNA (ENSSTUG00000048337.1)". The record is from RNAcentral. Lineage: Eukaryota; Metazoa; Chordata; Actinopteri; Salmoniformes; Salmonidae.